Molecule: long non-coding RNA, 172 nt
Organism: Pan paniscus (pygmy chimpanzee)
Lineage: Eukaryota; Metazoa; Chordata; Mammalia; Primates; Hominidae
Source: Ensembl
UGGGUCUGAAGGUGAUCCAGUGCAGUGGGGAGGGGAGAGAGGUGGUGCUUCCUCUGCUUUAUGCAUAUAAAGUGUUCUUCUUGGUUCCUAGCAGACAGUGAACACCCCCCCUUGGAGAGCCUUGAUGCUGAGCUGUCAGACAAUGCAGCAGGAAAUGAGUCCAUUCCUCCAG